This 635-nucleotide small RNA is filed under the name Pongo abelii (Sumatran orangutan). RNAcentral's name for it is "retained intron". The record is from RNAcentral. Lineage: Eukaryota; Metazoa; Chordata; Mammalia; Primates; Hominidae.
CUAAAGCAAAUUAUUGUUGGUGAUUAAGUGUAUUCACCCUUUCUGUCCUGGCAGUUCCUCUGUGACGAGGGUACAGGUAUCUCUGGGGACUACAUCGAUCGUGUGGACGAGCCCUUGUCCUGUUCUUAUGUGCUGACCAUUCGCACUCCUCGGCUCUGCCCCCACCCUCUCCUCCGGCCCCCACCCAGUGCUGCACCCCAGGCCAUCCUCUGUCACCCUUCCCUACAGCCUGAGGAGUACAUGGCCUAUGUUCAGAGGCAAGCCGUAGACUCAAAGCAGUAUGGAGAUAAAAUCAUAGAGGAGCUGCAAGAUCUAGGCCCCCAAGUGUGGAGUGAGACCAAGUCUGGGGUGGCACCCCAAAAGAUGGCAGGUGCAAGCCUGACCAAGGAUGACAGUAAGGACUCAGAUUUCUGGAAGAUGCUUAAUGAGCCAGAGGACCAGGCCCCAGGAGGGGAGGAGGUGCAGGCUGAGGAACAGGACCCAAGCCCUGAGGCAGCAGAUUCAGCUUCAGGUGCUCCCAAUGAUUUUCAGAACAAUGUGCAGGUCAAAGUCAUUCGAAGCCCUGCGGAUUUGAUUCGAUUCAUAGAGGAGCUGAAAGGUGGAACAAAAAAGGGGAAGCCAAAUAUAGGCCAAGA